RNA transcript from Amaranthus tricolor (Joseph's coat), 2033 nucleotides. It is a transcript of the gene named ABC transporter I family member 6, chloroplastic-like, with no coding region annotated. The transcript is spliced from 8 exons. NCBI's taxonomy places the organism in Eukaryota, Viridiplantae, Streptophyta, Magnoliopsida, Caryophyllales, Amaranthaceae. The record is from RefSeq and is a predicted model, not a curated record.
GCAGUCACCAACAAAUACAUCAACAAUGGCUCAGCUUCACUGCCCUUCUUCCCAAAUUCCAGCAACUCUUCUCUUCUCUCGCGGAACUUUCUCGAAAUCUCCGUUUACACAUUCUAGAAUCUUCUCAAUUACUUCAAUUCCUUCAUCGCAAUUACGCUGCUGUUCUCUCUCACUAUCCAACCGCACUUCCCUUCGAGUAACCGCCGAAACCGUUUCCGUUGGAUCCGAGACUUCAUCCUCUCAAUCCAAAGACGAUAAGAACCUUCUGCUGCAAGUCAAGGAUCUUACUGCUGUUAUUUCUGAAUCUCAGCAGAAAAUUCUUAAUGGAGUCAAUCUCACUGUUUAUGAAGGCGAGAUUCAUGCAAUCAUGGGGAAGAAUGGUUCCGGAAAGAGUACAUUCUCUAAGGUUCUUGUUGGUCAUCCAGAUUAUGAAGUUACUGGAGGAACUGUGAUUUUUAAAGGUCAAAACCUACUAGAAAUGGAACCAGAGGAAAGGGCUCUUUCAGGGAUAUUUAUGAGCUUCCAGUCACCAGUCGCAAUUCCUGGAGUGAGCAAUGCAGAUUUUUUAAAUAUGGCUUAUAAUGCUCGACAAAGAAAACUUGGUCUCCCAGAGCUGGGUCCGAUAGAGUUCUUUAGCCAUGUAUAUAGCAAGCUUGAUCUAGUCAACAUGAAGAUGGAUUUUCUGAAUAGAAAUGUUAAUGAAGGAUUUAGUGGUGGAGAAAGGAAGCGGAAUGAAAUUUUACAACUCGCGGUUUUGGGGGCUGACUUCGCAAUAUUAGAUGAAAUUGAUUCUGGGUUAGAUGUUGAUGCACUUCAAGAUGUAGCAAAAGCAGUUAAUGGUCUGUUAAUGCCAACAAAUUCUGUGCUGAUGAUCACUCAUUAUCAACGUCUUCUAGAAUAUAUAAAGCCCUCUUAUAUUCAUAUUAUGUUCCUUGAAUGAUGAAGUGUGGCUAAUUGAUUAGAUGGUGUGGAAACUGAGAUUUUCCUUUUAGAUGAUGAAAACUUCAUUGAUAAAUGAUCUGCCAAGAAAUGCACCAUAUGCAUUAUUCAUGACCUAAAAAAGCAGCUUACGUUGUGCAAAUUCUGCAUAAAGGCCCUAUAGAUGUUCCAAAACAGCUGAUGAUCAGGCCCAUCUUGAUCCGUCGAUUCUUACGGAAUUUCCUUCAUUAAUUGCCUGAGUUUACAGUACAAGAACUAGAGCUGUCAAUUUGUGUUAAACUGACUGGGCCCAAUCUGAAAAUGACCGAACAUGAAAAUUAAAUGCAUUGAAAUGCUAGUUCGACAUGGCUAAACCUGAAGUCUGACCUGUACCAAAACCCAACCCGACUAAUGAUACAAAUGAACACCACCGAUGAAUUGGUGACUACUCAUCUCUUCACUAGCGAAGUGCCAGAUGAACCCAUGGACGAAAAUGCUCCGAGAUAUGAACAUACACUUUCUUGCUGAUGUUGAGUUUCUCCUACAGAGUGGUUCACUGCAAUGCUUUUACAGACACUAUACACAACAAUGUUUUAUUUAUCAUUUUUAGUACAUUUAUUGGGUUUGAGAUUCUUUAAUGAAUUAAAGGAAACAGAAAAAUAAAUACUAAUGUAGGAAAAUGGAAGAAUUGUGAAGACCGGAGACAUUUCUCUCGCAUCAGUCCUGGAGAAGGAAGGGUACAAGGCAAUAACAACUGCAUAAAUACGAGUUAUUAAGGUUUCUUUGAGAUCAUAUACAUGCUGGGAAUCAGAAUGUUACAAGAAGAAAGAAAGAAACGCAAAGAAUGGAAACUGUUUGUUUUAUCAAGUGCUGAUUGAGUAAUACAUACCCCUUCUUUCGAGAGGAAGGUGCUCUCCCCAAAGAUGCUACGUGUUUAAUAUGAAAUUGCUUGCUUUUCCCCUUCCCCCAUGCUCCAUUAUAUAAUCAGAUUCUUAACAAACUUCUUAAGUGUAUUCCUAACAAGUCCUCCCAGCUAACAAACUCAUAACAACUUUUCUUCUUGAUUUACUAAAUUACCCUCUCCCCAAAACUGAAAUUAUUUCUCAGCUUAGCAA